This 406-nucleotide ribosomal RNA is filed under the name uncultured bacterium. RNAcentral's name for it is "partial 16S ribosomal RNA". It matches the Rfam family "Bacterial small subunit ribosomal RNA", at positions 30 to 526 of the family's 1533-position model. The record is from RNAcentral.
AUUGAACGCUGGCGGCAGGCCUAACACAUGCAAGUCGAGCGCGCGGCGGACGGGUGAGUAAUGUCUGGGACACUGCCUGAUGGAGGGGUAUAACUACUGGAAACGGUAGCUAAUCCCGCAUACCAUCAGAUGUGCCAAGAUGGGAUUAGCUAGUAGGUGGGGUAAUGGCUCACCUAGGCGACGAUCCCUAGCUGGUCUGAGGGGAGGACAAUCCAAACUGGAACGGAGACACGGUCCAGACUCCGACGGGAGGAAGCAGGGGGGAAUAUUGCACAAUGGGCGCAAGCCUGAUGCAGCCAUGCCGCGUGUGUGAAGAAGGCCUUCGGGUUGUAAAGCACUUUCAGCGAGGAGGCGUUACUCGCAGAAGAAGCACCGGCUAACUCCGUGCCAGCAGCCGCGGUAAUUC